GAAAUGCGAUAAGUAAUGUGAAUUGCAGAAUUCAGUGAAUCAUCGAAUCUUUGAACGCACCUUGCGCCCUUUGGUAUUCCGAAGGGCAUGCCUGUUUGAGUGUCAUUAAAUUCUCAACCUUGUGAACUUUGUUUGCCAGGCUUGGAUGUGAGGGUUUUUGCUGGCUUCCAUUCAGUUGGAUGGUCUGCUCCCUUUAAAUUCAUUAGUGGGAUCCUUUGUGGAUGGUCACUUGGUGUGAUAAUUAUCUACGCCGCCUGACUCUGAAGCAAGAAUUGUGGGAACCUGCUUAUAACCGUCUCUUCAGAGACUAUCUUUGACAAUUUGACCUCAAAUCAGGUAGGACUACCCGCUGAACUUAA
RNAcentral lists this ribosomal RNA (359 nucleotides) under Mycena pura. RNAcentral's name for it is "eukaryotic LSU rRNA". The stretch from base 1 to 105 matches the Rfam family "5.8S ribosomal RNA", at positions 50 to 154 of the family's 154-position model. The record is from RNAcentral. Lineage: Eukaryota; Fungi; Basidiomycota; Agaricomycetes; Agaricales; Mycenaceae.